This 470-nucleotide ribosomal RNA is filed under the name uncultured bacterium. RNAcentral's name for it is "bacterial SSU rRNA". It matches the Rfam family "Bacterial small subunit ribosomal RNA", at positions 915 to 1391 of the family's 1533-position model. The record is from RNAcentral.
GGGGACCCGCAAGCGGUGGAUGAUGUGGAUUAAUUCGAUGCAACGCGAAAAACCUUACCUACCCUUGACAUGUACGGAAGGCCGGAGAGAUCUGGCUGUGCUCGAAAGAGAACCGUAACACAGGUGCUGCAUGGCUGUCGUCAGCUCGUGUCGUGAGAUGUUGGGUUAAGUCCCGCAACGAGCGCAACCCUUGUCAUUAGUUGCUACGAAAGGGCACUCUAAUGAGACUGCCGGUGACAAACCGGAGGAAGGUGGGGAUGACGUCAAGUCCUCAUGGCCCUUAUGGGUAGGGCUUCACACGUCAUACAAUGGUACAUACAGAGGGCCGCCAACCCGCGAGGGGGAGCUAAUCCCAGAAAGUGUAUCGUAGUCCGGAUUGUAGUCUGCAACUCGACUACAUGAAGUUGGAAUCGCUAGUAAUCGCGGAUCAGCAUGUCGCGGUGAAUACGUUCCCGGGUCUUGUACACACC